This 74-nucleotide transfer RNA is filed under the name Flammeovirga sp. SJP92. It matches the Rfam family "tRNA". From Rfam's summary of the family: Transfer RNA (tRNA) molecules are approximately 80 nucleotides in length. Their secondary structure includes four short double-helical elements and three loops (D, anti-codon, and T loops). RNAcentral also lists the same sequence under 1 other name. Lineage: Bacteria; Pseudomonadati; Bacteroidota; Cytophagia; Cytophagales; Flammeovirgaceae. The record is from Rfam by way of RNAcentral.
GGGGGAUUAGCUCAGUUGGCUAGAGCGCUUGCUUUGCACGCAAGAGGUCAUCGGUUCGACUCCGAUAUUCUCCA